This 22-nucleotide small RNA is filed under the name Arabidopsis thaliana (thale cress). RNAcentral describes it as "ATSL105170". The record is from RNAcentral. Lineage: Eukaryota; Viridiplantae; Streptophyta; Magnoliopsida; Brassicales; Brassicaceae.
GAUAGUGCUUUUCUUGUUGUUU